Molecule: ribosomal RNA, 165 nt
Filed under: Parodia erinaceus
Lineage: Eukaryota; Viridiplantae; Streptophyta; Magnoliopsida; Caryophyllales; Cactaceae
Description: Parodia erinacea 5.8S ribosomal RNA
Rfam family: 5.8S ribosomal RNA
About the family: 5.8S ribosomal RNA (5.8S rRNA) is a component of the large subunit of the eukaryotic ribosome. It is transcribed by RNA polymerase I as part of the 45S precursor that also contains 18S and 28S rRNA.
Source: RNAcentral
CGUAACGACUCUCGGCAACGGAUAUCUCGGCUCUUGCAUCGAUUAAGAACGUAGCGAAAUGCGAUACUUGGUGUGAAUUGCAGAAUCCCGUGAACCAUCGAGUCUUUGAACGCAAGUUGCGCCCGAAGCCUUCCGGCCGAGGGCACGUCUGCCUGGGCGUCACGC